GUCUUUCUUUGCCUGUCUAGUUGCUUUGAUUGUUUGAACGGCUUAAAUUGUGAUUGAUUUACAUAAACGUUCCUGUUGAUGAUGUAGGUUUUGGUAGGCGAAUCCUUGGUGAAGCAAGCAGACCCUGGGCGAGCCAUCGCGGGGCUCUUCGGGAAAGAACUGGUGCACUGAAACAACUAGCUCAGACUUGUUUGUGGUAGACUAGUAGUAGUAGCUGCCAGACCACCGCAUGAUGAACAAUAAUGGUCUCUUUUUCUUUUGGAUGAGCAACAAGAUUUGAUCUUUUUUAUGUGGGAAUAAACAUAUUCUUUAUUUAUGGGGAACAAAUGUAUGAUCUACCAGUUGCGUGCAUAUAUUGUUGACAAAACAUGCAACCUUGUAAUCAACUCAGCCAAACAUGAUCGAAGUGUGUCCA
This 415-nucleotide ribosomal RNA is filed under the name Triticum aestivum (bread wheat). Its description in RNAcentral is "partial small subunit ribosomal RNA". Lineage: Eukaryota; Viridiplantae; Streptophyta; Magnoliopsida; Poales; Poaceae. The record is from RNAcentral.